Molecule: ribosomal RNA, 406 nt
Filed under: uncultured bacterium
Lineage: Bacteria
Description: partial 16S ribosomal RNA
Rfam family: Bacterial small subunit ribosomal RNA
Source: RNAcentral
AUUGAACGCUGGCGGCAGGCCUACCACAUGCAAGUCGAACGAGUGGCGGACGGGUGAGUAAUGGCUGGGAAACUGACUGAUGGAGGGGGAUAACUACUGGAAACGGUAGCUAAUACCGCAUACCCUCGGAUGUGCCCAGAUGGGAUUAGCUAGUAGGUGGGGUAAAGGCUCACCUAGGAGACGAUCCCUAGCUGGUCUGAGAGGAUGACCAGACACACUGGAACGUAGACACGGCCCCGACUCCUACGGGAGGCAGCAGUGGGGAAUAUUGCACAAUGGGCGCAAGCCGGAUGCAGCCAUGCCGCGUGUAUGAAGAAGGCCUUCGGGUUGUAAAGUACUUUCAUCGGGGAGGCGUUACCCGCAGAAGAAGCACCGGCUAACUCCGUGCCAGCAGCCGCGGUAAUUC